RNAcentral lists this ribosomal RNA (253 nucleotides) under uncultured bacterium. RNAcentral describes it as "partial 16S ribosomal RNA". It matches the Rfam family "Bacterial small subunit ribosomal RNA", at positions 524 to 776 of the family's 1533-position model. The record is from RNAcentral.
UACGGAGGGUGCAAGCAUUAAUCGGAUUUAUUGGGCGUAAAGGACGCGUAGGCGGGUUUGUAAGUCAGAUGUGAAAUUCCGAAGCUCAACUUCGGAGCUGCAUUUGAAACUACAAGUCUUGAGGAAAGGCGGAGAAAAUGGAAUUCCACGUGUAGCGGUGAAAUGCGUAGAUAUGUGGAAGAACACCGGUGGCGAAAGCGGUUUUCUAGCUUAUUCCUGACGCUGAGGCGCGAGAGCAAGGGGAGCAAACAGG